GCCUGGAUGAGACUAUGUCUCUCUCUCUCUCUCUCUCUCUCUCUCUCUCUCUGUGUGUGUACAUACAUAUACAUACACACACACACACAGAGAGAGAGAGAGAGAGAGAGCAUUUCAAUGAGCCU
Molecule: microRNA precursor, 125 nt
Filed under: Podarcis lilfordi (Lilford's wall lizard)
Lineage: Eukaryota; Metazoa; Chordata; Lepidosauria; Squamata; Lacertidae
Source: RNAcentral